Piliocolobus tephrosceles (Ugandan red Colobus) is the source of this 3005-nucleotide long non-coding RNA. The record is from Ensembl. NCBI's taxonomy places the organism in Eukaryota, Metazoa, Chordata, Mammalia, Primates, Cercopithecidae.
UAAAAUAAAAUAAAAUAAGAAUAACACAAAACAAAAAUAUAUAUAUAUAUAUAUAUAUAUAUAUAUGAACUCAUGUAUGUGUAUAUAAAUAUAUGUAUGUGUUAUUUUUAUUUUAUUUUAUUUUUUUUUUUAUUCAUUAAACGGUUACUAAAGUAGUUGCAUAUUUUUUUAUAUGCGUAGACAUACGCACAUUCGUGAACAGUCACAUGAGUGUGUAUACGUAUUUAUAUAUGUAUAUACAUAAGUUAUAAAUACGUGUGUACGUAAUCGAUAACAUGAGUGCAUAUACAAGCAAAUAAUAUGUAAUUGUAUUUUACAUUAGUGCACAAAAUGGUUUGAAUAUAUUGUAGAUAUAUGUACAUGUAAAUAUACAUAUUUGUUUAUAUAUAUUUUAUUUUUAUAAUUACUGUUUAAACAUAUUUAUAAUUUGAAUAACAUACACAUAAAUGUACCUACAUGAGUGUUAAUAAAAUGGAAUCAGGUGAAAUAAAAAUUGAAGAAACAACCACUAAUCAUAUAAAUUAUAGAGAAUGUGGUUUAGCUUUGGAUUGCAAUUCUGGUAGUGUACCUCUUACUUCUACAAAUACUUCUAUAAAUACUUCUACAAAUACUUCUACAAAUACUUCUACAAAUACUUCUAAAAAUAAUAACAAUCGUGACAGUAACAACCAUGAAAGUAACAACCAUAAAAGUAACAACCAUGACAGUAACAAUAAUCAAACUAUAAUUACUACUACAGCUACAGCUACUGCUACUACUACCACUACUACUACAACCACUACUACCACAACCACUACUACUACUACAACUUUUAGUGGAGGUGGUACCAUAACAAAUAGUAGAAAAAAAAAAAAAACACAAUCUAGUAAUUUUAUAAAUUUAAGAGAUUGGACAUUUAAAGUACAAAAAAGAUAUGCAAAAAAACUUAAAAAAAAAGAAACAAGUAAUUUAAACAAACAUAAAAAUUUAAUAAAAAAAGAAAACCGAUCUUUAUCAUCAGCUACUUCAUCUUUUAGAUCAAGAUCGAGUUUAGGAAGAAAACUUAAAUUAUCUUCUGAUGAAUCAGAUUUCGACUUAGAUAUUGAACAACGAAUAAGAAAAUUUUUAAAAAUUGAUAAAGAUAGUGAUAGUAAAAGAAAUACAAAAAAUACAAAAAAUAAAAAAAAUACAAAAAAUGAAAAAAAUGCAAAAAAUACAAAAAAUGCAAAAAAUAAUAAUUAUGAAAAUUUUGAUGAUAAUAAAGACAACAGUAUCAGAUAUAGUAUUAGUAUUGUCAGUAGUAACAGCAAUAACAGCAUUAAUAGCAACAGUAGUAGUAGUAGAUUUAGUAAACGUAGCAGAAGUAGUAAUCGUAUUGCUGUUAAUGAAGAAGACGAAUGUAACGAUGAUAAUCACAGGGAAAGAGGAAAAAAGAGAAAAAAUUAUUCACAAAAUAAAAAUAUAGAAACUAAAGAAUUUUUUGAAAACAUUAUAUCGUAUACAACUAAUAUUAAUGGAGAUGUCAAACAAUAUGGGGAAUAUAAUAAAAUAAUAUAUGAUAAAAAAUGUGAUAAAAAUUAUGAUAAACAUUAUGAUAAAAGUGGAAGUAAAGAUAAUUUCAUAAGUGACAAACGGAAUGAUAAAAAAAGUGAUACAAGCAAUGAGAAAAAUGAUAACAACAAUGACUACAAUAGUGACAAUAAUAAUAAAACAAAAACACCACAAAAUGAUAAAUAUAUAUAUACAAAAACAAAAGAAAAAAAUAGUAAUUAUAACAAUAACGACACUACUGAUAGUAAUAAUAACAAUAAACAAUAUACAUCAAAUGAAAAAAUACAUGAAUUUAAAAGCAAUAAUAAAAAAUAUAACCAAAAAAUAAAUGAAAUAAAUACAAAUAAAAUAAAAAAAGAUAUAACUAUUGAUGAAUAUACAAAAAAUAUAAGUAAGAAGGAUACAAACAAAUAUGAGCAAAAUUAUAAUACCCCUUCUAUUGCGAGUGUUUCUACAUCUACUGUCACAUCAAGUACAGCUAAUACUACUACUGCUGUUGUUGAUCCAACAAAUAAUAACAGCAUUACUAGUAGUAACAAUAAUAAUAAAAAUUCUGAAAAAUAUGAAAAUGAUAAAAAUGAUCAUUUUAUAUGUAACGACGAUAGUAGACGUCAACAUAUUACUACAAGUUAUAAAAAUAAUGAACAGUUACAAAAAAAACAAUCCAAUGUAAAAAAAAAUAAUAAUGAUAAUAUACAGAAUAAUGAUAAUAUACAGGAUAAUCAUAAUAUACAGAAUAAUCAUAAUAUACAGAAUAAUCAUAAUACACAGAAUAAUCAUAAUAUACAGAAUAAUCAUAAUACAAUUAAUGGAGAAGUAAAAAAGGAACAGGACAUUGUACAGAUAUAUGAAUCUAAGCGUAACACAAGAAGUGGCUGGUCCAAUAAUACGGGAUCUAAUAUGUAUAACGAAAAAGCUCGAACAAGUGACAUGACAAAAGAAACAAACAAUUAUAAAAAGCUAAAUGAACAGUCAAGCAAAUAUGAUCAUAACAAAAUAAAAAAAGAUCGAGAAAAAGAAGAACGUCCAAAAGAAGAACGUUCAAAAGAAUUGGAAAAAAAUUAUAAAAAUAAUUAUAAUAAAAUAAGUAUAAAUGAUAAAACUAAUGAUAUAAAAAUAAAAAAUGAGAAAAUAUUAAAACCAAUUAAUUCAAAUGAUACGAACAUAUCUAAAAUGGAUAAAGAAAAAAAUAAUAAAAACAUUUAUGAUAAAAACAGAGAUAAACGUUUUAUUAUUGAAUCUCGUACUAAUAAAAAUAAUGUGGAAUAUUUUAACAAUAAUUACAAUAUUAACAGUAACGAUAAUAAUGUGAGUAAAAGUAAUAAAACUAGUAAUAAUAAAAUUACAUCACUGCAAAAUACGGAAGCAUAUGAAAGUGAUGGAAAAAUAAAAAAAAAAAAGAAAACGAAAAGGGAAGUGAGAACGAAAAAAAUGGAGAAAUCGAAAAGGAGAAUGGAAAAGAGAAUGGAAAAGAG